This 235-nucleotide ribosomal RNA is filed under the name Achatinella fulgens. RNAcentral's name for it is "partial 16S ribosomal RNA". The record is from RNAcentral. Lineage: Eukaryota; Metazoa; Mollusca; Gastropoda; Stylommatophora; Achatinellidae.
UUGAAGUCGAGAAUAAAGGAAAAAUUAGAAAUAAACUGUCUUAAAGGUUUUAUUAUAAAAUUACUAAUAUGGUGAAAAUUCCAUAAUAAAAUUUUAAUAGACGAGAAGACCCUAUGAAUUAUUACAAAAAAAUUUUUUUAAAAAUUUUAAAUUUUUGUUGGGGCAACAUGAAUUUUAAAAAAAUUUUUAUAAUAAAAUUUUACAUUUGAAGUUAAUAUUAUAAAUGAAUUUAAUU